GGCUGGGUAGCUUAGUGGUAGAGCAGACGUUUCAUAAGCGUCAGGUCGUGGGUUCGAUUCCCACCCCAGCUA
Molecule: transfer RNA, 72 nt
Filed under: Candidatus Liptonbacteria bacterium
Lineage: Bacteria; Candidatus Liptoniibacteriota
Description: tRNA-Met
Rfam family: tRNA
About the family: Transfer RNA (tRNA) molecules are approximately 80 nucleotides in length. Their secondary structure includes four short double-helical elements and three loops (D, anti-codon, and T loops).
Source: RNAcentral